AUACGGAGGAUCCGAGCGUUCUCCGGAUUUAUUGGGUUUAAAGGGAGCGUAGGUGGAUUGUUAAGUCAGUUGUGAAAGUUUGCGGCUCAACCGUAAAAUUGCAGUUGAAACUGGCAGUCUUGAGUACAGUAGAGGUGGGCGGAAUUCGGGGUGUAGCGGUGAAAUGCUUAGAUAUCACGAAGAACUCCGAUUGCGAAGGCAGCUCACUAGACUGUUACUGACACUGAUGCUCGAAAGUGUGGGUAUCAAACAGGAUUAGAUACCCUGGUAGUCCACACAGUAAACGAUGAAUACUCGCUGUUUGCGAUAUACAGUAAGCGGCCAAGCGAAAGCAUUAAGUAUUCCACCUGGGGAGUACGCCGGCAACGGUGAAACUCAAAGGAAUUGACGGGG
Molecule: ribosomal RNA, 393 nt
Filed under: uncultured bacterium
Lineage: Bacteria
Description: partial 16S ribosomal RNA
Rfam family: Bacterial small subunit ribosomal RNA
Source: RNAcentral